This 252-nucleotide ribosomal RNA is filed under the name uncultured bacterium. Its description in RNAcentral is "partial 16S ribosomal RNA". It matches the Rfam family "Bacterial small subunit ribosomal RNA", at positions 524 to 776 of the family's 1533-position model. The record is from RNAcentral.
UACGUAGGGGGCAAGCGUUAUCCGGAAUUAUUGGGCGUAAAGAGUACGUAGGUGGCAACCUAAGCGCAGGGUUUAAGGCAAUGGCUCAACCAUUGUUCGCCCUGCGAACUGGGAUGCUUGAGUGCAGGAGAGGAAAGCGGAAUUCCUAGUGUAGCGGUGAAAUGCGUAGAUAUUAGGAGGAACACCAGUGGCGAAGGCGGUCAACUGGACAGCAACUGACGCUGAGGCGCGAAAGCGUGGGGAGCAAACAGG